Long non-coding RNA from Onychostoma macrolepis, 1006 nucleotides. RefSeq lists it as uncharacterized. The record is from RefSeq and is a predicted model, not a curated record. The transcript has 3 exons. Lineage: Eukaryota; Metazoa; Chordata; Actinopteri; Cypriniformes; Cyprinidae.
CGGAACGCGACGCUGUGAUCGUCGGAGACUCCAUCGUCCGGCACGUCCGUGCUACGUUAGCUGAAGGUAAAGUGCACACUCACUGUUUCCCUGGUGCUCGUGUUUUCGAUGUUUCUGCGCAGAUACCCGUUAACCUUGAAGGGCGACGAGAGCAUCGGCGCUGUCGUGCUGCACGCGGGGGUUAACGACACCAAGCUGCGGCAGACGGAGACACUGAAGAGGGACUUCAGGAGCCUGAUCGAGACGGUACGCAGCACAUCGCCCGCGACGACGAUCAUCGUGUCAGGACCACUUCCCACGUAUUGACGAGGACACGAAAGGUUCAGUAGACUUUUUGCUUUAAACGAAUGGUUGUUGUCAUGGUGUAAAGAACAGAAACUGCUCUUUGUUAAUAAUUGGAAUCUUUUCUGGGAGCGUUCUAGGCUUUUCCGUGCUGAUGGCCUGCACCCCAGCAGAGUCGGAGCGGAACUCCUGUCGGACAACAUCUCCAGGACACUACGCUCCAUCUGACUAAAUCUGUCAUCUGCUCUAAUCACUAAUACCUGGAAUCCAAUGCGACAUGGAGCUGAUAGAUGGAGAGACAUAAGUACAGCCUGCAUAAAACUUGUGAUGCAAUAGCACAGCUAUAUUGAUUUCAACAGUCGCUGCCUCUGGAGGCAAACGUGACAGCAAACGUUCUUCAGUCAGAUGCACAGGAGCCCCAGAUCUGAGCUGUUUGUUCUGCAUGAUCAUCACCAAACGAAUUCAAAUUUUAGGAUUGUCUGAAGUAAAUGUGAGCAUGUUUGCCUGUGCUCCAGUGCUAGUUUCAAUUCAAUUUCAAUUUAUCUGCAAAGUGCUUUUCAAAAUACACAUUGUCCCAAAGCAGCUUUGCAAAGAAUACACCAUAUAGGAAAUCUAAAAUGGGUUUUCUUUCCACGAACUUAAACUGAUAGUCUAAUGAAUCAUUUAGUCACCAUCAUAUUGUGCCUAACUAUCUUUUAUUGUGGAAAAUAAAAAAGGACACUGA